AAAUAUGAGAGUAAUCUGGCUGCAACAUCUGUCACCUCAUUGAUGGCCAGGAUUGAUUCAGCUAAUCUGGAUGACUUGGCAGGUGUCUUUUUCCUGCCUCACUACUCCAUGUGUGUCCUUUCUCAAGCUACUUGCUAGGUUGAAGAUGACCUUCCCAAAUAGAGAACCAUUCUUCACUGAAGGGUACACAAGCAGCUGUGUUCCCCUGCUAGAACCUCUAAAUAUGCUGUCAAGGAUAUAGGUCCAAGUGGUAAGACUUCAGAAGUAAAAGGCAGAAAGAAAGAAUCAAAGGAUCCUAUGAAGAGCAAUUCAGUGGAGUAUCAUUACUUCCUUU
RNAcentral lists this small nuclear RNA (334 nucleotides) under Aotus nancymaae (Ma's night monkey). RNAcentral's name for it is "7SK RNA (ENSANAG00000012271.1)". It matches the Rfam family "7SK RNA". From Rfam's summary of the family: 7SK was discovered as an abundant small nuclear RNA in the mid-70s but a possible function has only recently been suggested. Two independent studies have found that 7SK RNA binds the CDK9/cyclin T complex (known as elongation factor P-TEFb). The record is from Rfam by way of RNAcentral. Lineage: Eukaryota; Metazoa; Chordata; Mammalia; Primates; Aotidae.